UACGUAGGGUGCAAGCGUUGUCCGGAAUUAUUGGGCGUAAAGGGCUCGUAGGCGGUCUGUCACGUCGGGAGUGAAAACUCGGGGCUUAACCCCGAGCCUGCUUCCGAUACGGGCAGACUAGAGGUAUGCAGGGGAGAAUGGAAUUCCUGGUGUAGCGGUGAAAUGCGCAGAUAUCGGGAGGAAUACCAGUGGCGAAGGCGCUGACCUGGACGAAGAUUGACGCUGAGGUGCGAAAGCGUGGGGAGCAAACAGG
Molecule: ribosomal RNA, 253 nt
Filed under: uncultured bacterium
Lineage: Bacteria
Description: partial 16S ribosomal RNA
Rfam family: Bacterial small subunit ribosomal RNA
Source: RNAcentral